UUGUCAUUAGGGAAUCCUACGUACCAGCGACACGGUUCGAAGUUCCAGAGUAUUCCUGCCCAGCCUGGGCAGGCUUCUGCUUUGCUCCCGUACUUUGGAAUCCUCCUUGACCAGGGUCAGCUUAAUAAACUUGAAUCCUUAGAUCUUUGCCGUCCAGUUCUUUAGCAGGGGCCAAGCAACUCUUAGAAAAGCGACUGAAGGAAGACAAGGUACAAACACUUGUGAAAUCGUAGCCCCUAGCACUGUUUGAGAACUAGGUCACAGGCUCACUACUUCCCUGCUCCUAAUCUUACCUUGUCCCUUUGGCACACCACAGCUAGAGUGUUCAGAAGAACUUAGAGAUUUGGUCAAAACUGCUGACCCUACACUCGCUGUGAGUGUGUACCUUUGGGCAAAUGUGCCAAGCAAAGUUAUCCAGUGUUUUGUAGAAACAGGCCAAUUCCAAAAACUUGUGCUCUAUGCCAAAAAGGUUGGCUAUGCCCCAGACUGGAUCUUUUUGCUGAAGAGUGUGAUGAGGAUCAGUCCAGACCAGGGCCUGCAGUUUUCUCAAAUGCUCAUGCAGGAUGAGGAGUCAUUGGGCAACAGUAACCAGAUUGUAGACGUUUUCAUGGAAAACAGUUUAAUUCAGCAGUGUACUUCCUUCUUGUUGGAUGCCUUGAAGAAUAAUCGCCCAUCUGAGGGGCUCCUCCAGACUCGCCUGUUGGAGAUGAACUUGAUUCAUGCAC
This is a non-coding RNA of Ceratotherium simum simum (southern white rhinoceros), 725 nucleotides long. The record is from RefSeq and is a predicted model, not a curated record. Lineage: Eukaryota; Metazoa; Chordata; Mammalia; Perissodactyla; Rhinocerotidae.